This is a long non-coding RNA of Fopius arisanus, 1776 nucleotides long. RefSeq lists it as uncharacterized. NCBI's taxonomy places the organism in Eukaryota, Metazoa, Arthropoda, Insecta, Hymenoptera, Braconidae. The transcript has 3 exons. The record is from RefSeq and is a predicted model, not a curated record.
GGCAGAUUAGAAUUAUUAAUCGAAUUAUAUAAGCUGGUGAUUAUGAUCAUACUCCAAAUAUAUCGGUGAUUUCUUUUCGCGAUUUUUUUCGAAGGAAAAAAACCCAGCAAUCUGAAAUAAGUUAAAAAUAAAUCACCACUUCAAUUUCGAUAUUUAUCAACGUCGAAAUCUAUCGGCGAUAAUCGAUAGAGAGACGGUAUCAUAAAAUCAUUUCUCUUGUAUCUUCACAGAAAUUUUAAAAAUUAGGAUGAUUAUCUUUUAUGAAUUCCGGCUAGAUAACAUCGAUUGACAAAAUCGUUUUUUGUCGGAAUGAGUUCGAGUGAGUGACAGAAAUUUAUCAGUGCAAAUCAGGCGAUGAGGGACAAUAAAUUCCCGGUGUUUCUGAUAAGCCGGUACUGCCAUCUCUCAGCUCAUUACCACAACAGAGUGUCGUCUCAACGUAAAGGUUCCCCUCGACGGGUCCUAAACCCGCAACAUCGGCUUCGCCACAGCGAUCCUAAAUCAGAUCGAUUGGACAGCGGAAAAACCGUGUUAUUAAUUUGUCAUAAUCCGUUAGCCUCAAACUGUUGCAAAUUGCCACAUACGCACACUCAUAAAUAUAGCCGCUCGAUAAUACAGCACGAUGACCAUGGGACAUGAACUGAUUGGGGUGGAGACAGCCUUUGCAGUUUAAUUUAUGUUGCAUCACCAACCAGUCGUACCGGUAUUCCAAACGAAUCGGACGUUUUUGACACAUUGUUCCGUCCGCACAGGAGAAAGAACCGAGAUUUUUUGGGGAAAAAAAAAAAAUUCGGUGUCGAAGAAUUAUUUGGUUGUUUGCCUGGGCACAUGAUUAUGGUAUAGGAAUCCCAUGAUAGACGGCUCGUGUGCAUGUUUGCGGAUAACACGAUCGUACGUGUAGCCCCGAUGGUGUCAAGGAUCCAGCUGACCAGGUUGACCAUCGUCCGCCAUAUUGGUAAACAGAUAUAACUCUCGGGAAAUUUUCUAGUCGACCGUGAAACUCACCAGAAAGCACCGCCAUCUUCGCGACCCAUCACAUGAAUCGCAGAUGGCGCUGCCCAUCGAUUCCCCAAUUGAACCAUGGCUUCCGUCACUCACUUCCGUUGCAUUAACACUCAUCCGGAAAAAUCAGAGCAACCAGAAAGGAAGGCGAUCACUCAGCAGACGCAGUCAGUUAAUUAGUCCGGAUCGAAGCCCACCUAUUUGACAAAUGAACGGUCAAUAUUUGAUGUAAGGAUGUCACCCUAGAGAACCUUUCAUGUUAUCGCCAAUCCACUCGAUUUUCUUGGUGAACGGAGUGGAGACUAACGAAACGUCCUGCGGUUUUAAAUCCUGUGUGUGUGUUGAUGUCGGGCCGCCCAUCGUCCUGGGGUGUGCACGUGUUUAGUCAAACAUCUCGGACGCCUGUUUGUACGGGCACCAAGCCCUCCGAACCGAGAUAUCCGAUGAUUAAUGGCCCUCCUUCCGGGUUUAUUAACGACACGCCUGUCCACCUAGCGGCACAAUAUCCGUGUCUUUCCGUCACGGCGGAUUUUGCCUCUUCUGUUGCCGCCCUGAACCCUUCUCCAUACCGCCAAAUCCCAUUUUUUCGCUAAAUAAAUCCAUUGGACUUUUCCCAAAACGUCCGUUUUCUCACGCCAUUAAUUAUGUUCCUCCUUCAAUUUUAACUAGACCCGCAUUUGGGGCGCCAUUUGUGCGCCUAUAAUCAUCAUAUGGCGGUCGCAAAAAAAUAUAAAUUCAAUAUAAUAUUCAUAUAUUCUUUUUCAUUUUAUAUAU